RNAcentral lists this ribosomal RNA (393 nucleotides) under uncultured bacterium. RNAcentral describes it as "partial 16S ribosomal RNA". It matches the Rfam family "Bacterial small subunit ribosomal RNA", at positions 523 to 918 of the family's 1533-position model. The record is from RNAcentral.
AUACGGAGGAUGCAAGCGUUAUCCGGAUUUAUUGGGUUUAAAGGGUGCGUAGGCGGUUUGCUAAGCGGGAGGUGAAAUGCCGGCGCUCAACGUCGGAAGUGCCUCCCGAACUGGUGGACUUGAAUGACCCUGCCGUGGGAGGAAUGUGUAGGGUAGCGGUGAAAUGCUUAGAGAUUACACAGAACACCGAUUGCGAAGGCAUCUCACGAAGGGUUGAUUGACGCUGAGGCACGAAAGCGUGGGGAUCAAACAGGAUUAGAUACCCUGGUAGUCCACGCAGUAAACGAUGAUGGCUAACCGCUGGGCUUAUCAGUUCAGUGGCUAAGCGAAAGCGAUAAGCCAUCCACCUGGGGAGUACGACCGCAAGGUUGAAACUUAAAGGAAUUGACGGGG